Molecule: ribosomal RNA, 478 nt
Filed under: uncultured bacterium
Lineage: Bacteria
Description: partial 16S ribosomal RNA
Rfam family: Bacterial small subunit ribosomal RNA
Source: RNAcentral
GACGAACGCUGGCGGCGUGCUUAACACAUGCAAGUCGAACGGGAUUUAGUAAACAGAAACCUCGGUGGAAGAUUACUAAUGAGAGUGGCGAACGGGUGAGUAACGCGUGAGCAACCUGCCUAUGACAGUGGGAUAGCCUCGGGAAACCGGGAUUAAUACCGCAUAAAAUCGUAGAAACACAUGUUUUAACGGUCAAAGAUUUAUCGGUCAUAGAUGGGCUCGCGUCUGAUUAGCUAGUUGGUGAGAUAACAGCCCACCAAGGCGACGAUCAGUAGCCGGUCUGAGAGGAUGAACGGCCACAUUGGAACUGAGACACGGUCCAAACUCCUACGGGGGGCAGCAGUGGGGAAUAUUGCACAAUGGGGGAAACCCUGAUGCAGCGACGCCGCGUGAACGAAGAAGGUAUUCGUAUCGUAAAGUUCUGUCCUAUGGGAAGAUAAUGACAGUACCAUAGAAGAAAGCUCCGGCUAAAUACGUG